UCAGAAUCAACGCUGGCGGCGCGCCUAACACAUGCAAGUCGAACGAGAAAGCGGGAGCAAUCUCGCAAGUACAGUGGCGUACGGGUGAGUAACACGUGGAUCAUCUGCCCUGGAGUGGGGAAUAACGCUGGGAAACCGGCGCUAAUACCGCAUAUUCCCGAGAGGGGAAAGCAGCAAUGCGCUCGAGGAGGAGUCCGCGGCCGAUUAGUUAGUUGGCAGGGUAAAAGCCUACCAAGACGGUGAUCGGUAGCCGGCCUGAGAGGGCACACGGCCACACUGGCACUGAAACACGGGCCAGACCCCUACGGGAGGCAGCAGUGGGGAAUCUUGCACAAUGGGGGAAACCCUGAUGCAGCGACGCCGCGUGAGCGAUGAAGCCCUUCGGGGUGUAAAGCUCUUUCGGCAGGGACGAUGAUGACGGUACCUGCAGAAGCAGCUGCGGCUAACUACGUGCCAGCAGCCGCGGUAAUACGUAGGCAGCAAGCGUUGUUCGGAGUUACUGGGCGUAAAGGGUGUGUAGGCGGCCUGUUAAGUUCCGUGUGAAAUCUCCCGGCUCAACUGGGAGGGUGCGCGGAAAACUGGCGGGCUAGAGUGCGGGAUGGGAGAGUAGAAUUCCUGGUGUAGCGGUGAAAUGCGUAGAUAUCAGGAGGAAUACCGGUGGUGUAGACGGCUCUCUGGACCGUAACUGACGCUGAGACACGAA
Molecule: ribosomal RNA, 703 nt
Filed under: uncultured bacterium
Lineage: Bacteria
Description: bacterial SSU rRNA
Rfam family: Bacterial small subunit ribosomal RNA
Source: RNAcentral